CCUACGGGUUGCAGCAGUAGGGAACUUUCGUCAAUGGGGGGAACCCUGAACGAGCAAUGCCGCGUGAGUGAGGAAGGUCUUCGGAUCGUAAAGCUCUGUUGUAAGAGAAAAACGGCACUCAUAGGGAAUGAUGAGUGAGUGAUGGUAUCUUACCAGAAAGUCACGGCUAACUACGUGCCAGCAGCCGCGGUAAUACGUAGGUGGCGAGCGUUAUCCGGAAUGAUUGGGCGUAAAGGGUGCGUAGGUGGCAGAUCAAGUCUGGAGUAAAAGGUAUGGGCUCAACCCGUACUGGCUCUAGAAACUGAUCAGCUAGAGAACAGAAGAGGACGGCGGAACUCCAUGUGUGGCGGUAAAAUGCGUAGAUAUAUGGAAGAACACCGGUGGCGAAGGCGGCCGUCUGGUCUGGAUUCUGACACUGAAGCACGAAAGCGUGGGGAGCAAAUAGGAUUAGAUACCCCCGUAGUC
Molecule: ribosomal RNA, 465 nt
Filed under: uncultured bacterium
Lineage: Bacteria
Description: bacterial SSU rRNA
Rfam family: Bacterial small subunit ribosomal RNA
Source: RNAcentral